AGUGAUUGUCCCUUCGGGGACAUCCGAUAAAAUUGGAACGAUACAGAGAAGAUUAGCAUGGCCCCUGCGCAAGGAUGACACGCAUAAAUCGAGAAAUGGUCCAAAUUUUUUUUGGCAAAAAUUUUCAGAUUUUUUCUUCAUCUGUAGAUU
This 150-nucleotide small RNA is filed under the name Arabidopsis thaliana (thale cress). Lineage: Eukaryota; Viridiplantae; Streptophyta; Magnoliopsida; Brassicales; Brassicaceae. The record is from RNAcentral.